This 72-nucleotide transfer RNA is filed under the name Camelus bactrianus (Bactrian camel). It matches the Rfam family "tRNA". Rfam says of the family: Transfer RNA (tRNA) molecules are approximately 80 nucleotides in length. The record is from Rfam by way of RNAcentral. Lineage: Eukaryota; Metazoa; Chordata; Mammalia; Artiodactyla; Camelidae. RNAcentral also lists the same sequence under 3 other names.
GGGAGAAUAGCUCAGUGGUAGAGCACAUGCUUAGCAUGCACGAGGUCCUGGGUUCAAGCCCCAGUACCUCCA